This is a long non-coding RNA of Lolium rigidum, 384 nucleotides long. RefSeq lists it as uncharacterized. The record is from RefSeq and is a predicted model, not a curated record. The transcript has 2 exons. Lineage: Eukaryota; Viridiplantae; Streptophyta; Magnoliopsida; Poales; Poaceae.
UUUUCCCUGAGCCGAUGUUGCCAGCAAGUGCUCCGGUGGUGGUGUGGUUGUAGAGCCCUGAAGCCGUGGUGAUGGCCAGCGGCGUUUCAGGAGGGCGACUUCCUUCCAUCCACUUGGACGGCUCAUGCAUGGACCAUAUGGAAGGAAGCAUAGAAGAUAUGAGACAUUUUUGGUGAUUCGAGUGAGGAGGAUAUGGCAGGGUACUUAGUCUGAAUUUUGAAAAUGGUGAACAAUAGGAUAUGACAUGUGAUAAGUUGUGGUUUCUCAAAUACUUAGCAGUUAUGACAUGAUUUUGGUGACCCCUAUUCAGAACAGGGCGUCUACAACGCUCUCUUUUUAUGUGUAAUAUGGAUGUUGGCGUUGAAUUUGAGACUUCAUUUGAUA